UAGUCCACGCCGUAAACGAUGUCUGCUAGCCGUUGGCGACUUUAUGUUGCUAGUGGCGAAGCUAACGCGAUAAGCAGACCGCCUGGGGAGUACGGCCGCAAGGUUAAAACUCAAAUGAAUUGACGGGGGCCCGCACAAGCGGUGGAGCAUGUGGUUUAGUUCGAUGAUACGCGAGGAACCUUACCAGGGCUUAAAUGCAUAUUGACAGGGGUAGAGAUACCUUUUCCUUCGGGCAAUUUGCAAGGUGCUGCAUGGUUGUCGUCAGCUCGUGCCGUGAGGUGUCAGGUUAAGUCCUAUAACGAGCGCAACCCCUACCGUUAGUUGCCAGCAUGUAAAGAUGGGGACUCUAACGGGACUGCCGGUGCAAACCGUGAGGAAGGUGGGGACGACGUCAAAUCAUCACGGCCCUUACGUCCUGGGUCACACACGUGCUACAAUGGCCGGUACAGAGAGCAGCCACGAUGCAAGUCGGAGCGAAUCUACAAAACCGGUCACAGUUCGGAUCGGGGUCUGCAACUCCG
RNAcentral lists this ribosomal RNA (521 nucleotides) under uncultured bacterium. RNAcentral describes it as "bacterial SSU rRNA". It matches the Rfam family "Bacterial small subunit ribosomal RNA", at positions 791 to 1314 of the family's 1533-position model. The record is from RNAcentral.